Molecule: ribosomal RNA, 2300 nt
Filed under: Kingella kingae
Lineage: Bacteria; Pseudomonadati; Pseudomonadota; Betaproteobacteria; Neisseriales; Neisseriaceae
Description: partial 23S ribosomal RNA
Rfam family: Bacterial large subunit ribosomal RNA
Source: RNAcentral
CAUUCAGUAGCGAGCUUAACCGAGUAGGGGAGGCGUAGGGAAACCGAGUCUUAAUAGGGCGACUAGUUGCUGGAUGUAGACCCGAAACCGAGUGAUCUAUCCAUGGCCAGGAUGAAGGUGCGGUAAAACGCAUUGGAGGUCCGAACCCACGCAUGUUGCAAAAUGCGGGGAUGAGCUGUGGAUAGGGGUGAAAGGCUAAACAAACUCGGAGAUAGCUGGUUCUCCCCGAAAACUAUUUAGGUAGUGCCUCGAGUAUGAGACUGAUGGGGGUAAAGCACUGUUAUGGCUAGGGGGUUAUUGCAACUUACCAACCCAUGGCAAACUAAGAAUACCAUCAAGUUGCUCCUCGGGAGACAGACAUCGGGUGCUAACGUCCGGUGUCAAGAGGGAAACAACCCAGACCGCCAGCUAAGGUCCCAAAUGAUAGAUUAAGUGGUAAACGAAGUGGGAAGGCACAGACAGCCAGGAUGUUGGCUUAGAAGCAGCCAUCAUUUAAAGAAAGCGUAAUAGCUCACUGGUCGAGUCUUCCUGCGCGGAAGAUGUAACGGGGCUCAAAUCUAUAACCGAAGCUGCGGAUAUACUUUUGUAUAUGGUAGGGGAGCGUUCUGUAAGCCUAUGAAGGUGACUUGUAAAGGUUGCUGGAGGUAUCAGAAGUGCGAAUGUUGACAUGAGUAGCGAUAAAGUGGGUGAAAAGCCCGCUCGCCGAAAGCCCAAGGUUUCCUACGCAACGUUCAUCGGCGUAGGGUGAGUCGGUCCCUAAGGCGAGGCAGAAAUGCGUAGUCGAUGGGAAACAGGUUAAUAUUCCUGUACUUUGAUUCAAUGCGAUGUGGGGACGGAGAAGGUUAGGUUAGCAAACUGUUGGAAUAGUUUGUUUAAGCCAGUAGGUGGAAAGAGUAGGCAAAUCCGCUCUUUCUUAACACCGAGACGUGAUGACGAGUGUCUACGGACAUGAAGUGACCAAUACCACGCUUCCAGGAAAAGCCACUAAGCUUCAGUUGAAUCAGAACCGUACCGCAAACCGACACAGGUGGGCAGGAUGAGAAUUCUAAGGCGCUUGAGAGAACUCGGGAGAAGGAACUCGGCAAAUUGAUACCGUAACUUCGGGAGAAGGUAUGCCCUCUAAUGUUAAGGACUUGCUCCGUAAGCAUCUGAGGGUCGCAGAGAAUCGGUGGCUGCGACUGUUUAUUAAAAACACAGCACUCUGCUAACACGAAAGUGGACGUAUAGGGUGUGACGCCUGCCCGGUGCUGGAAGGUUAAUUGAAGAUGUGCAAGCAUCGGAUCGAAGCCCCAGUAAACGGCGGCCGUAACUAUAACGGUCCUAAGGUAGCGAAAUUCCUUGUCGGGUAAGUUCCGACCCGCACGAAUGGCGUAACGAUGGCCACACUGUCUCCUCCCGAGACUCAGCGAAGUUGAAAUGGUUGUGAAGAUGCAAUCUCCCCGCUGCUAGACGGAAAGACCCCGUGAACCUUUACUGUAGCUUUGCAUUGGACUUUGAAGUCACUUGUGUAGGAUAGGUGGGAGGCUUUGAAGCAGAGACGCCAGUCUCUGUGGAGCCGUCCUUGAAAUACCACCCUGGUGACUUUGAGGUUCUAACCCAGACUCGUUAUCCGGGUCGGGGACCGUGCAUGGUAGGCAGUUUGACUGGGGCGGUCUCCUCCCAAAGAGUAACGGAGGAGUUCGAAGGUUACCUAGGUCCGGUCGGAAAUCGGACUGAUAGUGCAAUGGCAAAAGGUAGCUUAACUGCGAGACCGACAAGUCGAGCAGGUGCGAAAGCAGGACAUAGUGAUCCGGUGGUUCUGAAUGGAAGGGCCAUCGCUCAACGGAUAAAAGGUACUCCGGGGAUAACAGGCUGAUUCCGCCCAAGAGUCCAUAUCGACGGCGGAGUUUGGCACCUCGAUGUCGGCUCAUCACAUCCUGGGGCUGUAGUCGGUCCCAAGGGUAUGGCUGUUCGCCAUUUAAAGUGGUACGUGAGCUGGGUUUAAAACGUCGUGAGACAGUUUGGUCCCUAUCUGCAGUGGGCGUUGGAAGUUUGAUGGGGGCUGCUCCUAGUACGAGAGGACCGGAGUGGACGAACCUCUGGUGUACCGGUUGUUUCGCCAGAAGCAUAGCCGGGUAGCUAAGUUCGGAAGAGAUAAGCGCUGAAAGCAUCUAAGCGCGAAACUCGCCCAAAGAUGAGACUUCCCUUGUGGUUUAACCAUACUAAAGAGUCGUUCGAGACCAGGACGUUGAUAGGUUGGGUGUGGAAGAGUGGUAACACUUGAAGCUAACCAAUACUAAUUGCUCGUGAGGCUUGACUCU